Molecule: ribosomal RNA, 504 nt
Filed under: uncultured bacterium
Lineage: Bacteria
Description: partial 16S ribosomal RNA
Rfam family: Bacterial small subunit ribosomal RNA
Source: RNAcentral
GAUAAACGCUAGCGGCAGGCUUAACACAUGCAAGUCGAGGGGCAGCAUACAUUGUAGCAAUACAAUUGGUGGCGACCGGCGCACGGGUGCGUAACGCGUAUGCAACCUACCCGUCACAGGGGGAUAAUCCUGAGCAAUCUGUUCUACUACCCCCUAACAUAUGGAUCGGCAUCGGUUCAUGUUGAAAUUCUCGGAGGUGACGGAUGGGCAUGCGUAGCAUUAGCUUGUUGGUGAGGUAACGGCUCACCAAGGCGACGAUGCUUAGGGGGACUGAGAGGUUUUCCCCCCACACUGGUACUGAGACACGUACCAGACUCCUACGGGAGGCAGCAGUGAGGAAUAUUGGUCAAUGGGCGCAAGCCUGAACCAGCCAUGCCGCGUGCAGGAUGACGGCUCUAUGAGUUGUAAACUGCUUUUGUACGAGGGUAAAGUGGGUUACGUGUAACCUUUUGAAAGUAUCGUACGAAUAAGGAUCGGCUAACUCCGUGCCAGCCGCCGCAGUAA